UACGAAGGGUGCUAGCGUUGUUCGGAAUCACUGGGCGUAAAGCGCACGUAGGCGGACGUGUCAGUCAGGGGUGAAAUCCCGGAGCUCAACUUCGGAACUGCCUUUGAUACAGCACGUCUUGAGUCCGGAAGAGGUGAGUGGAAUUCCUAGUGUAGAGGUGAAAUUCGUAGAUAUUAGGAAGAACACCGGUGGCGAAGGCGGCCCACUGGUCCGAUACUGACGCUGAGGUGCGAAAGCGUGGGGAGCAAACAGG
Molecule: ribosomal RNA, 253 nt
Filed under: uncultured bacterium
Lineage: Bacteria
Description: partial 16S ribosomal RNA
Rfam family: Bacterial small subunit ribosomal RNA
Source: RNAcentral